Molecule: ribosomal RNA, 253 nt
Filed under: uncultured bacterium
Lineage: Bacteria
Description: partial 16S ribosomal RNA
Rfam family: Bacterial small subunit ribosomal RNA
Source: RNAcentral
UACGGAGGAUCCAAGCGUUAUCCGGAAUCAUUGGGUUUAAAGGGUGCGUAGGUGGCCCUGUAAGUCAGUGGUGAAAUAUCUCAGCUUAACUGAGAGGGUGCCAUUGAUACUGCAGGGCUUGAGUACAGAUGAGGUAGGCGGAAUUGACGGUGUAGCGGUGAAAUGCAUAGAUAUCGUCAAGAACACCGAUAGCGAAGGCAGCUUACCAAGCUGUAACUGACACUGAGGCACGAAAGUGUGGGGAUCAAACAGG